Molecule: small RNA, 26 nt
Filed under: Bombyx mori (domestic silkworm)
Lineage: Eukaryota; Metazoa; Arthropoda; Insecta; Lepidoptera; Bombycidae
Description: ovarian small RNA-12106
Source: RNAcentral
AGCGACCUUCGAAAAGCUUGAGAAUG